This 604-nucleotide long non-coding RNA is filed under the name Brassica rapa (field mustard). RNAcentral's name for it is "long non-coding RNA (BRAP_LNC005998)". Lineage: Eukaryota; Viridiplantae; Streptophyta; Magnoliopsida; Brassicales; Brassicaceae. The record is from RNAcentral.
UACGAUUUAAGGUUUAAGGUUUAAGGUUUAAUGUUUUAGUGUUUUUUUAUUUAUAGUUUAGGAUUUAUUCAAGAGUUUAGAGUUUCUGCAAGGAUUUAGGGUUUAUGUUUUAGGUUUUAGGGUUUAGUAUUUUACUGACGACGUUAAAAAUAUAUAUUGUUAAAAGUAUUUUUUUGUAACUACUAUUAUUUUUUAUUAUUUUUUAUUUUUUUAUUUAAAAGAAUAAUAUAAUUUGAUAAUAUUUUGUUUCAUUUUCUAAAAGAUAUCGAAUAUAAAAUAACAAAAUCAUAUUGGUUAGUGAACAAGGUUCACUAUAGGAGGUGAACCCAAAAAUAAUUCUUGGUAAUACAAUUAAAAAAAUCGAGAUCAUGUUUAAUGGAUCAAUAUUAUAGUAACUAGAUUUUUUAACCGCACUACGCGCGGAUAAGAUAUUAUAUGUAUUUCUUAAUUCUAGAAAAAUAAUGUAUAAUAUUAUAUUACAUUAUUUAAAGAAUAUAAAAUAAGAUUACAUAACAUAAAUAUAUUUUUUAAAUUUUCUUUGUGGAAAUCAUUAUGUUAUUUGAUUGUUGUAUUUGAUUCACAUAUUUGCAUAGUUAUUUGUGAU